CCGUCAGCUGUGGCGGCGAAUUGUAGUCUCGAGAAGCGUCUUCACGGUGGAUCCUGCCUGCCUAAGUUGCUUGGAACAGCACAUCAGAGAGGGUGACAAUCCCGUUCGUGGCAGGCGGGGCCGCUCACGAUACGCUUUCCAUGAGUCGGGUUGCUUGGGAAUGCAGCCCAAAAUUGGUGGUAGACUCCAUCUAAAGCUAAAUACUGGCACGAGACCGAUAGCGAACAAGUACCGUGAGGGAAAGAUGAAAAGAACUUUGAAAAGAGAGUUAAAAAGUGCGUGAAACCGUUAGAGGGGAAGCGGAUGAAGUUAGCAAUGCCCCCGCGAGACUCAGGUGGAUGGCAUACCUCUGGAUGCGACGCGUGGCUGACGGAUCCGAAUGGACUGUCGUUACGUGGCCGUUCCAGCCAGCCGCCGCACUUCUCGUGCUGGGGCGCGUCAACAACUGCUGGACGACAGGGGGGCUAGACGGCACUCGCAGCGAAAGGUAGGCGUCUUACUAUGACUCGGCUACUUUGCGGUGGUCGAGGAGAUGCUGUUAUAGACGCUGUUGUGUCCCAGCUCCAGUCUGGCAGAGGCUAGCUAGCGGUGUGUGCUCGCAACUUCGGUCGUGGGCUGGCAUCCUGCUGCGUGUUCUUGUAGUCGUCAGCUGUGCACUGCUUGCAGUUCACUUCAGACGGUGAAAAGGCGCGUGCAGUGUAUGCACACUAUGUGCACCAUGGUUGUUGGCGGCCAUAUGGCUUCUUCCGACCCGUCUUGAAACACGGACCAAGGAGUCUAACAUGUGCGCGAGUCUUGGGGUGACCGAAACCCAGAGGCACAAUGAAAGUGAAGGCCGCCGUGCAAGGGCACUGCUCUCGUGGCUGGUGUACUAGCCGGUGGCUUAGGUGAGAUCUCUGCUUGCCACCUCGUGGCUGGCAGUGGCGCAUCAUCGACCGACCUAUUCUACUCCUAGAAAGGUUUGAGUAAGAGCGUACAUGAUGGGACCCGAAAGAUGGUGAACUAUGCCUGAGUAGGGUGAAGCCAGAGGAAACUCUGGUGGAAGCUCGUAGCGAUUCUGACGUGCAAAUCGAUCGU
Molecule: ribosomal RNA, 1077 nt
Filed under: Cassiopea andromeda
Lineage: Eukaryota; Metazoa; Cnidaria; Scyphozoa; Rhizostomeae; Cassiopeidae
Description: eukaryotic LSU rRNA
Rfam family: Eukaryotic large subunit ribosomal RNA
Source: RNAcentral